ACAGGGAAGGUCAGACAGUAUAGAGAGGAUUUCUUUUCCACCCUAUGGGCGGCAAAUUUUUUGUAGGGAGGCAAACCGCCCGCCGUGAAGGUGAAAGAAAGAGCUUUCCGGGGUCCGUAAAAAACUCCUGUUGUUUGGAGAGAGAAUAUGCUCAGGCAGAAGUAACUGUUGUCGGGCGUGACGGUAUCCCAACCAGAAAAGCCCACGGCUUACUACGUGCCCAGCAGCCCGCGGGUAAUAACGUAAGGUGGGCAAGCGUUUUCCGGAUUUUAUUGGGGCGUAUAAGCGAGGCGCCAGAGCGGUUUUUUUAAGUCUGAAUGUGAAAAGCCCUCGGGUUUAACCGAGGAAAGCGCAUCGGAAACUGGGGAAACUUGAGUGCAGAAGAGGACAGUGGAACUCCAUGUGUAGCGGUGAAAUGCGUAGAUAUAUGGAAGAACACCAGUGGCGAAGGCGGCUGUCUGGUCUGUAACUGACGCUGAGGCUCGAAAGCAUGGGUAGCGAACAGGAUUAGAUACCCUGGUAGUCCAUGCCGUAAACGAUGAAUGCUAGGUGUUGGAGGGUUUCCGCCCUUCAGUGCCGCAGCUAACGCAUUAAGCAUUCCGCCUGGGGAGUACGACCGCAAGGUUGAAACUCAAAGGAAUUGACGGGGGCCCGCACAAGCGGUGGAGCAUGUGGUUUAAUUCGAAGCAACGCGAAGAACCUUACCAGGUCUUGACAUCUUUUGAUCACCUGAGAGAUCAGGUUUCCCCUUCGGGGGCAAAAUGACAGGUGGUGCAUGGUUGUCGUCAGCUCGUGUCGUGAGAUGUUGGGUUAAGUCCCGCAACGAGCGCAACCCUUAUGACUAGUUGCCAGCAUUUAGUUGGGCACUCUAGUAAGACUGCCGGUGACAAACCGGAGGAAGGUGGGGAUGACGUCAAAUCAUCAUGCCCCUUAUGACCUGGGCUACACACGUGCUACAAUGGAUGGUACAACGAGUUGCGAGACCGCGAGGUCAAGCUAAUCUCUUAAAGCCAUUCUCAGUUCGGACUGUAGGCUGCAACUCGCCUACACGAAGUCGGAAUCGCUAGUAAUCGCGGAUCAGCACGCCGCGGUGAAUACGUUCCCGGGCCUUGUACACACCGCCCGUCACACCAUGAGAGUUUGUAACACCCGAAGCCGGUGGCGUAACCCUUUAGGGAGCGAGCCGUCUAAAGGUGGACCGGAUGGG
RNAcentral lists this ribosomal RNA (1207 nucleotides) under Lacticaseibacillus paracasei. RNAcentral describes it as "bacterial SSU rRNA". It matches the Rfam family "Bacterial small subunit ribosomal RNA", at positions 310 to 1475 of the family's 1533-position model. Lineage: Bacteria; Bacillati; Bacillota; Bacilli; Lactobacillales; Lactobacillaceae. The record is from RNAcentral.